UAGGGAAUCUUCCGCAAUGGACGCAAGUCUGACGGAGCAACGCCGCGUGAGUGAAGAAGGAUUUAGGUUCGUAAAACUCUGUUGUUAGAGAAGAACAGCGCAUAGAGUAACUGUUAUGCGUGUGACGGUAUCUAAUCAGAAAGCCACGGCUAACUACGUUCCAGCAGCCGCGGUAAUACGUAGGUGGCAAGCGUUGUCCGGAUUUAUUGGGCGUAAAGCGAGCGCAGGCGGUCAAUUAAGUCUGAUGUGAAAGCCCCCGGCUCAACCGGGGAGGGUCAUUGGAAACUGGUUGACUUGAGUGCAGAAGAGGAGGGUGGAAUUCCAUGUGUAGCGGUGAAAUGCGUAGAUAUAUGGAGGAACACCAGUGGCGAAGGCGACUCUCUGGUCUGUAACUGACGCAGAGGCUCGAAAGCGUGGGUAGCAAACAGG
This 429-nucleotide ribosomal RNA is filed under the name Bacteroidota bacterium. Its description in RNAcentral is "Bacteroidetes bacterium partial 16S ribosomal RNA". It matches the Rfam family "Bacterial small subunit ribosomal RNA", at positions 355 to 776 of the family's 1533-position model. Lineage: Bacteria; Pseudomonadati; Bacteroidota. The record is from RNAcentral.